Molecule: non-coding RNA, 126 nt
Organism: Triticum aestivum (bread wheat)
Lineage: Eukaryota; Viridiplantae; Streptophyta; Magnoliopsida; Poales; Poaceae
Source: Rfam
GGAGUACUCCCUCCGUCCGAAAAAACUUGUCUCUCAAAUGGAUGUAUCUAGCAUCAAGUUAGUGCUAGAUACAUUCAUUUGAGGUACAAGCUUGGGACAAGCUUUUUCGGACAGAGGGAGUAGUAA